Molecule: ribosomal RNA, 460 nt
Filed under: uncultured bacterium
Lineage: Bacteria
Description: partial 16S ribosomal RNA
Rfam family: Bacterial small subunit ribosomal RNA
Source: RNAcentral
CCUACGGGAGGCAGCAGUGAGGAAUAUUGGUCAAUGGGCGAGAGCCUGAACCAGCCAAGUCGCGUGAAGGAUGACGGCCCUACGGGUUGUAAACUUCUUUUGUCAGGGAGCAAUUGAGUCCACGUGUGGGCUUAGCGAGAGUACCUGAAGAAAAAGCAUCGGCUCACUCCGUGCCAGCAGCCGCGGUAAUACGGGGGAUGCGAGCGUUAUCCGGAUUUAUGGGGCGUAAAGGGUGCGUAGGCGGAAUAUCAAGUCAGCGGUAAAAAUUCGGGGCUCAACCACGUCGUGCCGUUGAAACUGAUGUUCUUGAGUGGGCGAGAAGUAUGCGGAAUGCGUGGUGUAGCGGUGAAAUGCAUAGAGAUCACGCAGAACUCCGAUUGCGAAGGCAGCAUACCGGCGCCCAACUGACGCUGAAGCACGAAAGCGUGGGUAUCGAACAGGAUUAGAUACCCGAGUAGUC